This is a long non-coding RNA of Homarus americanus (American lobster), 553 nucleotides long. RefSeq lists it as uncharacterized. Lineage: Eukaryota; Metazoa; Arthropoda; Malacostraca; Decapoda; Nephropidae. The transcript is spliced from 2 exons. The record is from RefSeq and is a predicted model, not a curated record.
UAUUAUUAACCUGAGCUAAAGUGUAAUUAAUGGUUAAUUUAGUCUAUUGUGUUGGGUCGCCAGGCACAGGUAUCUUUUAUAUCAAAACUUAAUGAUAAGCUGCAGCCAUAUUUCACAUUAUAAGGUAGAGAUUCAUUUAUUUCAGUUGUCCAUCACAUUAUAAGGUAGAGUUUCAUUUAUUUCAGUUGUCCAUCACAUUAUAAGGUAGAGUUUCAUUUAUUUCAGUUGUCCAUCACAUUAUAAGGUAGAGUUUCAUUUAUUUCAGUUGUCCAUCACAUUAUAAGGUAGAGUUUCAUUUAUUUCAGUUGUCCAUCACAUUAUAAGGUAGAGAUUCAUUUAUUUCAGUUGUCCAUCACAUUAUAAGGUAGAGUUUAAUUGGUAAAUUAUUGCUUUCAGACAACAGGGGAUCUUAGGAGUUUAUCUUUGCGGUCAAUAGUUAGACAAGCCUAAGACGUCAUAAUUUUAUAAGACGUUUGUGAGGGAAACGUCGUAGAAGAGAAGCGUCUUAGGUUUGUCUAAAUUAUUGAUUGGAAAAAUAAAAUUCCUAAGAAUC